AUCUUCCUCUUCAGUAGCAUGUAUACUAAAAUUGGAAUGAUAAGCAGGAGAUUAGCAUGUCCCCUACACCAGGACAACACGCAAGUUCUUGAGACAUUCCGUGUUUUA
Molecule: small nuclear RNA, 108 nt
Organism: Cavia aperea (Brazilian guinea pig)
Lineage: Eukaryota; Metazoa; Chordata; Mammalia; Rodentia; Caviidae
Source: Ensembl